Molecule: transfer RNA, 97 nt
Filed under: Nonomuraea sp. TT08I-71
Lineage: Bacteria; Bacillati; Actinomycetota; Actinomycetes; Streptosporangiales; Streptosporangiaceae
Description: tRNA-Ala
Source: RNAcentral
GCCGGGUGUGGCGGCCGCGGCUGGCCGCCGCGGCGUGGCGGGCGGCGCUGCUGGCCGGCGGCCGGCACGUACGCCGGCACAGCCUCGGCAUCCGGCU